ACAGAGGCAGCAAGCCUCAGAGACAACAUUAACCUCGGAUCACACCACCUCAGGAAACAGCCGGAAAUAGUCGAGAACCCAGCGUGUUAGUGGGUCAGAAAACGGUGAUGACGUAGACACUCGCAUGCCACGUGACUGAGAUGACGUAGCACGCAAGCGCACCACAUGACUGAGACGACAAAGCGUGCCUCCCGCCAAUGAUUCAGCUUAUCGCUUGUCUACAUUGCAACAGCACCGUGCACAUAAGCCAUGCCACCUUCCAUAGUUAGUGCACCUCUCAACAUAUGAAUAUGGUUACUAACUCAGAGACUGGAAAACCUCCAAGGCUACUGUUAAUUAACAAAAGCCAAUGCUCACCUUAUAGACCUGCAGCCAUGGAGAGAGAAGGCUUUCUUUCAGCAGCAUGUGGGCUGCCCCUCGAGGAGCCUUUGAGCAAUCGGAAGGGUGAA
This 449-nucleotide long non-coding RNA is filed under the name Mus pahari (shrew mouse). RNAcentral describes it as "lncRNA (MGP_PahariEiJ_G0006216.1)". Lineage: Eukaryota; Metazoa; Chordata; Mammalia; Rodentia; Muridae. The record is from RNAcentral.